AGGGUGUAAACGCUGCAGACUUGGUGUUGGAGGCCCUUUGGGGGGCGAUUCAGUGCCGGAGAGAAGUUGUUAAGUCUGCUACUUGGGGAGUACGUCCGCAAGGAUGAAACUUAAAGGAAUUGGCGGGGGAGGCACCGCAACGGGAGGAGCGUGCGGUUUAAUUGGAUUCAACACCGUAAACUCACCAGGGAAGACUGUUACAUGAAGGCCGAGAUGAAGACUCUGCUAGAUUUUCAGAGAGGUGGUGCAUGGCGUCAGUGACUGU
This 265-nucleotide ribosomal RNA is filed under the name uncultured archaeon. RNAcentral's name for it is "partial 16S ribosomal RNA". It matches the Rfam family "Archaeal small subunit ribosomal RNA", at positions 748 to 1010 of the family's 1478-position model. The record is from RNAcentral.